AUUGAACGCUGGCGGCAGGCCUAACACAUGCAAGUGGAGCGAAGCGGGGACGGGUGAGUAACACGUGGAUAACCUCCUAUAAGAAUGGGAUAACUUAGGGAAACCGGAGCUAAACCGGAUACUUAUAGAUGGAUCCGCGCUCCAUUAGCUAUGUGGUAAGGUAACGGCUUACCAAGGCAACCAUGCAUAGCUGACCUGAGUGGGGGAUCGGCCACACUGGAACUGAGCAGCGGUACAGACUCCUACGGGAGGCAGCAGUAGGGAAUCGUCCGCAAUGGGCGAAAGCCUACCGGGGCAACGCCGCGGGAGUGGUGAAGGUCUUAGGAUCGUCAAACUCUGUUGUUAGUGAAGCGGUACCUAAUCGGAAAGCCACGGCUAACUACGUGCCAGCAGCCGCGGUAAUAC
This 405-nucleotide ribosomal RNA is filed under the name uncultured bacterium. Its description in RNAcentral is "partial 16S ribosomal RNA". It matches the Rfam family "Bacterial small subunit ribosomal RNA", at positions 30 to 526 of the family's 1533-position model. The record is from RNAcentral.